Molecule: ribosomal RNA, 439 nt
Filed under: Pseudiberus strophostoma
Lineage: Eukaryota; Metazoa; Mollusca; Gastropoda; Stylommatophora; Camaenidae
Description: partial large subunit ribosomal RNA
Rfam family: Archaeal large subunit ribosomal RNA
Source: RNAcentral
AAAAACAUAACUAUAUGUUAACAUAUAUAGCAGUUUCUGCUCAAUGACAAGAUUAAAUAGCCGCAGUAAUUUGACUGUGCAAAGGUAGCAUAAUCAUUUGACUUAUAAUUAAGGUCUGGUAUGAAGGAGUUUAUGGGGGCCAUCUGUAUCAAGAAUAGAAUUUUAAAUUGCUUAUUGGGUGCAAAUUCCCAAAAAAAAAUAAUAGACGAGAAGACCCUAGAAAUUUUAAGAAUAAGUGAGUGAUUGUUUUUGUUGGGGCGACAAAGUAGCAAAAAACCUACUUUAUUUGACGAGUUAAUAUUAAUAAGAUAGAUUAAAUUACUCUAGGGAUAACAGCAUAAUAUUAAAAAGUUUGUGACCUCGAUGUUGGAUUAGGAAAUAAUAGCCCAGAAGGCUACUGUUAAAGCUCUGUUCGAGCUUGGCCUCCUACGUGAUCUGA